CCAAGAUCAAUUUUCCAGAGACAGCGGAAGAGGAGCUAGAAGAAAUUGCUUCAGAGAAUUCAGAUUCCAUCUAUAGUUCAACUCCCGAAGUGAAGGCCUGAGCAUCAGGCAAAUGCCACAGACAGUACAUAACUUACGGACUAAAACAAGCAGAGAAAAGCGUCAGCCUCCAGAGUUACUCUCUGCUUACAGCGACAUGAGCAGUAAAUAAUGAGGAAUAUGAAUUAGCUCCAGUGCUGGAACUAACCUACUUGGUGAUACCUAUGAGUGAGAACACAAGAGUAUCAGCUAAAGGCAGGUGAGGUUAUGCUCUUAUAAUGUGAUGGUCUGUUGUCUUUUUAAUGAGUAUGUGUAAGCCAACAUCCAAUUUCUCUUAUUACAAUUAGAUUUCUUGUAGCUGUUUAUGUUAUUAUGAAGAG
RNAcentral lists this long non-coding RNA (419 nucleotides) under Androctonus crassicauda. Lineage: Eukaryota; Metazoa; Arthropoda; Arachnida; Scorpiones; Buthidae. The record is from RNAcentral.